RNAcentral lists this small RNA (1616 nucleotides) under Pongo abelii (Sumatran orangutan). Its description in RNAcentral is "retained intron". The record is from RNAcentral. Lineage: Eukaryota; Metazoa; Chordata; Mammalia; Primates; Hominidae.
CUAAGAUACACCCUAGUGAAGAGACGGUUUGUGGAAUCCAUGGCAGAGGGAUUAGAGUGAUGGAAUGAAGAACCUCAGGGGCUAGGGGGUUUGUGGAGUGGGGACACCCUUGGGGCUGGUUGCUCUUACCUCUCUCUCCUCUCCCAGAGCACUGUCCCUUCCCAGUAUUGGUACUACAUGAUUGAACUUUCCUUCUACUGGUCCCUGCUCUUCAGCAUUGCCUCUGAUGUCAAGCGAAAGGAUUUCAAGGAACAGAUCAUCCACCAUGUGGCCACCAUCAUCCUCAUCAGCUUUUCCUGGUUUGCCAAUUACAUCCGAGCUGGGACUCUAAUCAUGGCUCUGCAUGACUCUUCUGAUUACCUGCUGGAGGUCAGGCUUCCUCAAACCUAGAGACCCCAGUGCAGGUUCUUCUGUCCCUUUGGUUUUCUUUGGGAGGGAGGUGCGGGGUGGGAAUUUGGAGGGUGACAUUCCUGGGACCAAGGGGGAGGGCACAGUCAGUGCUCCUAACUGGGGUGUACAUAUGAAUGUACUCGAGGGAGUCAGCAGCCCAUGAUGAUGGAUGGGGGCUCUCUAUGCAGUCAGCCAAGAUGUUUAACUAUGCGGGAUGGAAGAACACCUGCAACAACAUCUUCAUCAUCUUCGCCAUUGUUUUCAUCAUCACCCGACUGGUCAUCCUGCCCUUCUGGAUCCUGCAUUGCACCCUGGUGUACCCACUGGAGCUCUAUCCUGCCUUCUUUGGCUAUUACUUCUUCAAUUCCAUGAUGGGAGUUCUACAGCUGUUGCAUAUCUUCUGGGCCUACCUCAUUUUGCGCAUGGCCCACAAGUUCAUAACUGGAAAGCUGGUAGAAGAUGAACGCAGUGACCGGGAAGAAACAGAGAGCUCAGAGGGGGAGGAGGCUGCAGCUGGGGGAGGAGCAAAGAGCCGGCCCCUAGCCAAUGGCCACCCCAUCCUCAAUAACAACCAUCGGCCUUUGGAGGUGGAGAAGGGAUCCUGCCUGCUAGCACCACAUUGGAAGAGAUCAUCUGGUCCAGAACCCCCAUUUCUAUCUACUAGGAGCUGGGGGGAGUAGCUAGCCCAGAGACUUCGGGUCAGGGUUCAACAAUCAGGAAGACCCAGUUCCUGAGGAAACGACAGUUCAAGAAGGGUUGGGAAGAAGGCUGUCCUCUAAAGAAGACGUCCUCUGCAUUCAAUGGCCCCACAGCAACAGAGCAGCUCCUUGCCUUCCACACUGCCCACCUCGUAGUUGUAGUCCCAAGCUACCAGUCAUGUUCUUCUUGUCCUCAAAGUCAUCCCCUUCAGAGCCAGAGGAGAUGGUCUGGAUAUCAUCACUGUCAACCGCUGUAGCCGAAGUCUGACCAGCAGUGGGCUUUCGGCUGGUCCCACUUUCCCCCUCACUUUCUGUGCUGCUGGACAGUGUCAGGACAUCCUGGGGAAGCAGGAGGGGGUCCUCUGUACCGCUGUUGCCAUCUUCCUGGUCCUUCAAGUCUACACCACUGCUGUCAGAGGAACAGGGGGCAUCACUCUCAUAUCCUUCUUUGAAGUUCUCCACGCUCUCGAUAUGGUCCAGAUUUGCAAAGUACUCAUCACCCAUUUCCAGACCCUCCUUGUCUGCAAA